AGACUUGCUGAGUCUUCUGGCCUUCAUCUUUCUCCUGUGCUGGAUGCUUCCUGCCCUCAAACUUCAGACUCCAAGUUCUCCAGCUUUUGGUUUCUUGGACUUACACCAGUGAUUUGCCAGGGACUCUCGGGCCUACUACGACAGACUGAAGGUUGCACUGUUGGCUUCCCUACUUUUGAAGUUUGGGGGCUGGCUUCCUAGUUCCUCAGCUUGUGGAUGACCUACUGUGGGACUUCACCUAGUGAUCAGCAAUGAAGGAGAAAACUUUCAAAUAGCCCCUCUGCAUCUCCUACCUGAUGGUUAAUGCUGGCUGAGGAUUUCAGUGACAAUUCAGAAUUCAGCUAUAACUGCAAGUGGACAACACUUGUAAAUUCAGCUCUUCUUUUCCUCAAGCCUUACUUUCCUGGAUGCACAAAAGACCAACAAAACACUGGGAUCAAGGAAAGACGCAGCUUUUGUAUAAAUGAAAACCAAAUAUAGCAGUAUAUCAGAGGUCACAAUCGUGACUGACACAGGGUUGUAUACCUGCCAUUUCUCUGUCUUCCUGUGACCCUUCUUCAU
Gorilla gorilla gorilla (western lowland gorilla) is the source of this 561-nucleotide long non-coding RNA. RefSeq lists it as uncharacterized. Lineage: Eukaryota; Metazoa; Chordata; Mammalia; Primates; Hominidae. The record is from RefSeq and is a predicted model, not a curated record. The transcript has 3 exons.